RNAcentral lists this ribosomal RNA (497 nucleotides) under uncultured bacterium. RNAcentral's name for it is "partial 16S ribosomal RNA". It matches the Rfam family "Bacterial small subunit ribosomal RNA", at positions 28 to 507 of the family's 1533-position model. The record is from RNAcentral.
GACGAACGCUGGCGGCGUGCCUAAUACAUGCAAGUUGAGCGCUGAAGGUUGGUACUUGUACCAACUGGAUGAGCAGCGAACGGGUGAGUAACGCGUGGGGAAUCUGCCUUUGAGCGGGGGACAACAUUUGGAAACGAAUGCUAAUACCGCAUAAAAACUUUAAACACAAGUUUUAAGUUUGAAAGAUGCAAUUGCAUCACUCAAAGAUGAUCCCGCGUUGUAUUAGCUAGUUGGUGAGGUAAAGGCUCACCAAGGCGAUGAUACAUAGCCGACCUGAGAGGGUGAGUGGCCGCAGUGAGACUGAGACACGACCCAAACGCCUCAGGGAGGCAGAAGUAGGGAAUCUUCGGGCAGGGAAGAAAGACCGACCGAGGAAAGCAGCGUGAGUGAAGAAGGUUGUCGGAUCGUAAAACACGGUUGUUAGCGAAGAGCGUUGGUGAGAGUGGAAAGCUCCUCAAGUGACGGUAACUAACCAGAAAGGGACGGCUACCUACGUG